CUUCAUUUUUAACGAAAAAUAAGUAUGAUUAACAACCCUUGAUGGAAAACCAUUUCAUUGCAAGUAAGAUAGAGCAAUCACCAAGACUAGUAACCGUUAGCCAAAUGUAUUUGAUGUAUGACAAAGAGCUUUCUUGUAGUGGUGAACAAAUAAUCACAACAUAAAAUAUGCAUCGAUAGAUUGCGUUUUGUUGAAACAGAAGUCGGUACAUUGAGAUGAAAACAAUCAUCAAAACAACUUAUUAUCCACUACCAUUAGAAUGCAUUAGUCAUUCUUAGAAUGACCUAUACUAGGACUAUGGCCCGGAGUCGUAGGUCGAAAGGAAUUCACAUAUACUUCAUCAAAUCUAAAUGCAGGCCUCUGUAACUUUGUGGGACUUGCUUCUCUUGUUACUUUGGCACCACAAGUAAUCAGAUUUGCACACUUCAAUGCUUUUCCUCCCCGAAUGCAAAAAACUUCAUUUGGAACGAUGACAAGCAGGAAAAUCAAACACAGAAAAACUUUGGCCAUAUCGACUAUAGCUAGAAUUUUAGUUCUCUCUCUUUCUAAAGAAAGAAAAGAAGGAAAGUGAAGAGAAC
This 578-nucleotide long non-coding RNA is filed under the name Olea europaea subsp. europaea. Lineage: Eukaryota; Viridiplantae; Streptophyta; Magnoliopsida; Lamiales; Oleaceae. The record is from RNAcentral.